Molecule: long non-coding RNA, 3548 nt
Filed under: Xyrichtys novacula (pearly razorfish)
Lineage: Eukaryota; Metazoa; Chordata; Actinopteri; Labriformes; Labridae
Source: RNAcentral
GGCUGACUCACACACAAGAAGAAAAAAUUCUGGCAGAGGGCGAAUGCUUUGAAGGUUUUAGUCAUACCCAAAUGUGCUCCUUUUCUUCUCAUGCGCCUCUUCAAGGUUUUCUCUCCCGUGCGUCUGGAUCGUAGAUGCUCGGAGAGGAUCUGCUACAAAGAGAAUCGCAGAUCAACUUGACAGAAGAUGAAUUCAGCCAAGCACAAAGAGACUUGACAACGUUGCCUGCACCUCAACAUGAGUAAGAAGCACAUUUCAUUUAGCAUCCAUCGUGCACAGGAGAAAUCAAAUACAACUAUUUGUAAAUUCCCUUGUUGUUUUUUUGAUAUCUCUAAAAAAAAAAGCAGAAUCAUGCUUUUCACAAUUACAGCACACCUAUGUUAGGCACAAAAAUGGUUAUGGGAAACAUUAUAUGAACUGUGUUACACCACCUAUGAAAGUGAAUGGCUUCUACAGACAGAGAGUCACAGACACAUGGCUGCAGUUUGCAGUACAAAAGCAGAGCAGACGAGCUCCACAGAAUCGAGCAACACUGAGGGUGCUGCUGGGAUUGUCCUUGCCAGGCAUGAUUGUUCCACUAACUCAUAACCAGAAACCCCUCCUGUGCUUUUCAUUCAAUGGACAACCCUCUUGCUAGCAGUUUGAGGAAGCUCAGGGAGCAACAAAAGCAGCCUCUUAAUGGCAGAGAUCGAGAGUGGCUAGCAGGAAUCGAGCAAGUGAAAGAGUCAACCACGAAUAACCAAAUACCGACACAGUGGGGCUUUCACAUACAGAGCCCGUGUGAUGAUAGGGCUUAAAAUGUCUGUGUGAUUAUAUUUUUGCCUUCUCCAAACACAGCUGUGUCAGUUUCUGCAAAUAAGAUGACGUUUGGAAGGAAAAAAUAUCUAUUUUUGCCGCUUGGUGUUUGUUUACAGGGAAGGAACACAGCCUGGACAGCUUUCGCUCUGCUCCAACAUUCCUGAAAAAUAUCCUCAAUUCAAGCUGAAAAUGGAUUUCCUUGUGCUCUGCCUUUACAAAAUCCCUAAAGUGUGGAAAAAAAGCAGGGUUAAUAUUGGAUAUUGAGACAUAUUCUAAUUUAAUUGACGGCUAAACUAUAGUAAAUGAAAAGUAAAUACAGCAUUAGGGUUGAAAUUAUUCCAUGACCAUGUGUAUGGAUGUGAUUAGACCAUUAGCUCGGUGUAGCUGUAACACUCUCAUUCUCUCCAAUCAGGUGCAGGGAGCGUUAACACUGAGCAGAUGUUCCUGUUAGCUCAAACCCCACAUGUGCAAACUCUUUCUGAAUGAAAUGUGCAAUCCAGCAGCCAGACAACAGGUAUGAUGAUUAAUGAGUGUUGGGAUUUAUUUUCUCACUCGCUCAUAUUUUGCAGAAUUACUGAAAUUAGUUUACCAUGUUUAGACAAAACGGCAGGAAAAAAAUGGGAUUAAGUUAUACUGACAUUACAUAUACAAGGUAGUUAUAUAUGCACAUUUUAUUUCUUUCUUUAUUUUUUUGUAAAGGAAAAUGGAGGAAAUUCUGUAAAAUACAGACAUAUAUAAGGAGUAUACAACACACUCUAUAGAAAAAUAAAUGUUCACACAAAUAAUGUCCAAAAGGAAAUCUUUUCAACUACUUCUUACUUCUUCAUUUCAAGGGCAAUAAUGUACUCUUUACCCUUUAGCAUUUAUUCACUUUUGCUACACGUAUAUUAUGUAUAUUUUAUAAUAUACAUAAUAUAUGCCGCAUUGAAAGUAGCUACAAUUACGCUAUGCGCCACUUUAAUGGUGCCUACAGAUUUAUGCAUCAAGGACUUCAAUGCAAUCAAGUCAUUCAUAUUAAUCUGAAAGGUGAUGUUGUAUGCAUGGUGUAAGUAUAUAUAUAUAUAUAUAUAUAUAUAUUUUAAAUCUGGGGUACUUGAAGUGCAUUUUCCUGCUUAAACACAGUAUUUUUACUCUAGUUUAAUAUCAAACGCAGGACUCUGACUUCAAAAAACAGUAUUUUGACACAGUUCCUUUUUUUCCUUUUUGAUCUUUUCAGAUAUAAAACUGCGGUCUUAACUUUAAUGUCUGACUGGCUUGGAGAACUACAGUCAUAAAGAAUGAAGCCACACACACACACACACACACACACACACACACACACACACACACACACACACACACACACACACACACACACACACAAACCAGUUUAUGCAACUGCCAUUACAACUUACAAAUUACAGUGUGUGGGAUAGGAUGUCACAUUUCACUCCCUGUCUUUAAGGAAAUAGUAAAAUCACUCUCUCUGUAUUUGCUUUAGAGAAGGUUCAUUUUUAAACCUCUCUGUGAAACAAACAAGACAAACAUAAGCCGUCAGUUGUAGAUUGUUAGAUUAGAUAGAGGUCUCAAAUAAACCAGGAGAUACUGGCAGACAAAUAAAAAAUAAUGCAACCAUCAGUUGUUCAGCAAUAACUAAAACUGAAACAAGCUACACACUGGAAACGUCUAUCCAUCUCUAUGCAUCACCACAUUUCACAGCAAAAGACCGUCAACCCCUGUUACAGGAGAGCUGCUGUAAAGGGAGUCUGGUCUGCAGCAAGCUGGGAGUACUUAAUAAAAUAGCCGCCGUGUGAGGGAAAUCUAGGCCAGAGCAGUGUUUCUGUUGACAACAAUUUACCCCCACCAUGCACUGUGAGGGGCUCCUUGGAAGAGCAGGAACAAUAUCCUGUUCCACCUUAUAAAAACAGUUGUGGAAAAUUAGCAUCCUUGCUGUCUUCUCGGAGCGUCAGCCUGUAGAAAUGCUGCAGUCAAUGAAAUCAAUUUCCCCUCUGUCAAGCUUUAAUCACACACAUAAACUUUUUAACAAAAUCUGCAAACUCGAAUGAAUUAUUCCCCUCAGAAGCUCUUCACACCCUCUCACCUCCAUUUUCUCGUCUUUUGUUUCCUCUCCUUGUCUUGCUUUUCUCUCUCCCUCAUAUCCACUUCAGGCUUUGCUGCAACUCUGUUAACUUGCUUGAAACCGUUCCCAAAACCAACCAAAAGAAAAUGUGGUCUUGAUUUGUCUUUUUUUUCCCCCCUUCUCCACAGGAAAUAACAGAAAAACGGAACAAGGAGAUACCUAGUGAACUGAAGACAUUACCAGGAAAAUGAAGGGGCUAUUUCACAGACAUGGAUUAAACUAAUCCUGGUCUAAUACAGUGAAAAGGAGAACUUUGGCUGUCUGUCUGAAACCAAUCCCUAAAUCUCAUUGAAUUUAACAUGUCUGAUAUUUCUGCUUUUUUCUCAGCCGUAUUACACAAUAUGAGAGACCGAUCAACGCAACUGCUUUAUCUACAGCCUCCGUGUGGAUUUUGCAUGAUAUGUUUACAAGUGUUAUGAAGAGCAAGAUCCCAGAUAAACAAUAAACUCAGUCUGCUUGAAUUAAGUGCGCAUUCAGUUUGAACUUUCCACAAAAUCCAAUCAAAGAACUCCUCUUCCCUGUCUGUUUUCCCCUCUCUCACUCCUUUCAUUAGCUUAAUAUAUUAAUCUAUUCCCUUUUAUCCAUUUUAGAUUAUAUCAGACCUUUCUGUUCCACUGCAGUAGCCGCCUCU